GUUCAUGUCCGCAUCGUCAUACGCGCCAGCACCCCUGAAAGACUGCAGGAACAGAAACCCCUGGAAAGAUGAGUUCCCUAUUAAAGAGAGGCUUGAUGCUGUUUACUCCACACUCUUAGGCUGAUUUUGGAUUAUUUGUCUGUGAAGACACAGUAGUUCAGUUUCUGAAUCCCAUCAAGAAUGAAGACCUGCAGGCCACCAUAUUGAGCUGCAGGGUCUGAUGUCAUAAUAUGGCGCUUUUCCAAUGUAGGGUACAACUUGGCUCGGCACAAUGCAGCUCAUACCGCUUUCAUUGCUUUUCCAGUACAGUUUAGUAUCGCUUCAGAGUGGGUGAGAUUAUAGGCAGGGGUG
Molecule: non-coding RNA, 351 nt
Organism: Paramisgurnus dabryanus
Lineage: Eukaryota; Metazoa; Chordata; Actinopteri; Cypriniformes; Cobitidae
Source: RefSeq, a predicted model, not a curated record